RNAcentral lists this ribosomal RNA (229 nucleotides) under uncultured bacterium. RNAcentral's name for it is "partial 16S ribosomal RNA". It matches the Rfam family "Bacterial small subunit ribosomal RNA", at positions 568 to 796 of the family's 1533-position model. The record is from RNAcentral.
CGCGUAGGCGGAUUGAUAAGUCAGAUGUGAAAUUCCGAAGCUCAACUUCGGAGCUGCAUUUGAAACUAUUAGUCUGGAGGGUUGACGGAGAAAACGGAAUUCCACGUGUAGCGGUGAAAUGCGUAGAUAUGUGGAAGAACACCCGUGGCGAAAGCGGUUUUCUAGUUGACACCUGACGCUGAGGCGCGAGAGCAAGGGGAGCAAACAGGAUUAGAUACCCUGGUAGUCC